RNAcentral lists this ribosomal RNA (387 nucleotides) under uncultured bacterium. RNAcentral's name for it is "bacterial SSU rRNA". It matches the Rfam family "Bacterial small subunit ribosomal RNA", at positions 30 to 419 of the family's 1533-position model. The record is from RNAcentral.
AUUGAACGCUGGCGGCAUGCCUUACACAUGCAAGUCGAACGGUAACGGGCCUUCGGGUGCCGACGAGUGGCGAACGGGUGAGUAAUGCAUCGGAACGUACCUUUCAGUGGGGGAUAACGUAGCGAAAGUUACGCUAAUACCGCAUAUUCUGUGAGCAGGAAAGCAGGGGAUCGCAAGACCUUGCGCUGAUUGAGCGGCCGAUGUCAGAUUAGCUAGUUGGUGAGGUAAAGGCUCACCAAGGCGACGAUCUGUAGCGGGUCUGAGAGGAUGAUCCGCCACACUGGAACUGAGACACGGUCCAGACUCCUACGGGAGGCAGCAGUGGGGAAUUUUGGACAAUGGGGGCAACCCUGAUCCAGCCAUGCCGCGUGAGUGAAGAAGGCCUUC